GAUGAACGCUGGCGGCGUGCCUAAUACAUGCAAGUCGAGCGAACAGACGAGGAGCUUGCUCCUCUGACGUUAGCGGCGGACGGGUGAGUAACACGUGGAUAACCUACCUAUAAGACUGGGAUAACUUCGGGAAACCGGAGCUAAUACCGGAUCAUAUAUUGAACCGCUUGGUUCAAUAGUGAAAGACGGUUUUGCUGUCACUUAUAGAUGGUUCCGCGCCGCAUUAGCUAGUUGGUAAGGUAACGGCUUACCAAGGCAACGAUGCGUAGCCGACCUGAGAGGGUGAUCGGCCACACUGGAACUGAGACACGGUCCAGACUCCUACGGGAGGCAGCAGUAGGGAAUCUUCCGCAAUGGGCGAAAGCCUGACGGAGCAACGCCGCGUGAGUGAUGAAGGUCUUCGGAUCGUAAAACUCUGUUAUUAGGGAAGAACAAAUGUGUAAGUAACUAUGCACGUCUUGACGGUACCUAAUCAGAAAGCCACGGCUAACUACGUG
Molecule: ribosomal RNA, 497 nt
Filed under: uncultured bacterium
Lineage: Bacteria
Description: partial 16S ribosomal RNA
Rfam family: Bacterial small subunit ribosomal RNA
Source: RNAcentral